RNAcentral lists this ribosomal RNA (1389 nucleotides) under metagenome. RNAcentral's name for it is "bacterial LSU rRNA". It matches the Rfam family "Bacterial large subunit ribosomal RNA", at positions 1456 to 2925 of the family's 2925-position model. The record is from RNAcentral.
AAAUUUAAACACGGGGACACUUUUGAAGGGUUCAGCCGGGCGAUGGUUGCCCCGGUCGUAAGGGACUGCAAGUGAGCGGGAAGUGAAUUUGGAAGAAGGCGAGAAAAGCUGUGUGAAUAGAAGAUAGAGCCCGUACCGCAAACCGACACAGGUAGAUAGGAAGAAGAUUCUAAGGCCAACGGGAGAAGGGUUGUUAAGGAACUCGGCAAGUUGACCCCGUAACUUAGGGAGAAGGGGUGCUCUUUAAGGAGAGCCGCAGAGAAUAGGCCCAAGCGACUGUUUAGCAAAAACACAGCUCUAUGCUAAAUCGAAAGAUGACGUAUAUGGGGUGACACCUGCCCGGUGCCGGAAGGUUAAGAGGAGGAGUGAGAGCACUGAAUUGAAGCCCCGGUAAACGGCGGCCGUAACGAUAACGGUCCUAAGGUAGCGAAAUUCCUUGUCAGGUAAGUUCUGACCCGCACGAAUGGUGUAACGAUUUGGGCACUGUCUCAACAACCUGCCCGGCGAAAUUGUAGUACCGGUGAAGAUGCCGGUUACCCGCGACUAGACGGAAAGACCCCAUGGAGCUUUACUGCAGCUUAAUAUUGAAUUUCGGUAUUUCAUGUACAGGAUAGGUGGGAGACAGGGAACCAUAGGCGUCAGCUUAUGGGGAGUCGACCUUGGGAUACCACUCUUGAGGUGCUGGAAUUCUAACCUGUGGCUCUGAAUCGAGUCAGGGGACAUUGUUAGGCGGGCAGUUUGACUGGGGCGGUCGCCUCCAAAAAGGUAACGGAGGCGCUCAAAGGUUCGCUCAGCAUGGAUGGAAACCAUGCUUUUGAGUGUAAACGCAAAAGCGAGCCUAACUGCGAGACUGACGGGUCGAGCAGUAACGAAAGUUGGAGUUAGUGAUCCGGCGGUAUGUGAGUGGAAAUGCCGUCGCUCAACGGAUAAAAGCUACCCUGGGGAUAACAGGCUGAUCUCCCCCAAGAGUCCACAUCGACGGGGAGGUUUGGCACCUCGAUGUCGGCUCAUCGCAUCCUGGGGCUGAAUUCGGUCCCAAGGGUUUGGCUGUUCGCCAAUUAAAGCGGUACGCGAGCUGGGUUCAGAACGUCGUGAGACAGUUCGGUCCCUAUCCGUCGUGGGCGUAGGAUAUUUGAAAGGAGCUGUCCCUAGUACGAGAGGACCGGGAUGGACGCACCGCUGGUGCACCAGUUGUCAUGCCAAUGGCACAGCUGGGCAGCUAUGUGCGGAACGGAUAAACGCUGAAGGCAUCUAAGCGUGAAGCCGACCUUAAGAUAAGAUAUCCCUUCGUAAGAGUAAGACCUCUCAUAGACUAUGAGUUUGAUAGGCCUAAGAUGUAAGCACAGUGAUGUGUUCAGCCUGCAGGUACUAAUCGGUCGAGGGCUUUUC